This 310-nucleotide long non-coding RNA is filed under the name Fukomys damarensis (Damara mole-rat). RNAcentral describes it as "lncRNA (ENSFDAG00000031686.1)". The record is from RNAcentral. Lineage: Eukaryota; Metazoa; Chordata; Mammalia; Rodentia; Bathyergidae.
AAAUCUGUGCAGAAAGCCUUGGAGAUGUUCCCUGAUAGAUGCACAGAGAUCAGGGAUGCAGUGGCUCCCAAGAGUCUGGUGUCAUUCUGCAUGAAGACCCCUUAGCCUGGUCACCAGCGCUACUGUCCAGGAAUGAAGCACACUGUUGUUCUUGGGUUUGAAUCUAGAGCCUGUCAAUACUAAGCAAGAACUGUACUACUGGAUAUGCUCUCAGCCUCCCCCAUGCAGCAUUGUGUCACUGAAUCCUCACAUAAAUUCUGAGGUAGACAUCAUCAUCAUCGUCACCACUUUCUUCUUCAUCUCCAUCUUU